UACGGGAGUGGCAAGCGUUAUCCGGAAUUAUUGGGCGUAAAGCGUCCGCAGGCGGCCUGAUAAGUCUGUUGUCAAAGCGUGGAGCUUAACUCCAUUUCGGCAAUGGAAACUGUGAGGCUUGAGUGUGGUAGGGGCAGAGGGAAUUCCCGGUGUAGCGGUGAAAUGCGUAGAUAUCGGGAAGAACACCAGUGGCGAAGGCGCUCUGCUGGGCCAUAACUGACGCUCAUGGACGAAAGCCAGGGGAGCGAAAGGGAUUAGAUACCCCUGUAGUCCUGGCCGUAAACGAUGAACACUAGGUGUCGGGGGAAUCGACCCCCUCGGUGUCGUAGCUAACGCGUUAAGUGUUCCGCCUGGGGAGUACGCACGCAAGUGUGAAACUCAAAGGAAUUGACGGGGGCCCGCACAAGCGGUGGAGUAUGUGGUUUAAUUCGAUGCAACGCGAAGAACCUUACCAGGGUUUGACAUCCUGCGAAUCCCUUGGAAACUUGGGAGUGCCUUCGGGAGCGCAGUGACAGGUGGUGCAUGGCUGUCGUCAGCUCGUGUCGUGAGAUGUUGGGUUAAGUCCCGCAACGAGCGCAACCCACGUCUUUAGUUGCCAGCAUUCAGUUGGGCACUCUAGAGAGACCGCCGGUGAUAAACCGGAGGAAGGUGUGGAUGACGUCAAGUCAUCAUGCCCCUUACAUCCUGGGCUACACACGUACUACAAUGCUACGGACAAAGGGCAGCAAACUCGCGAGAGCUAGCAAAUCCCAUAAACCGUGGCUCAGUUCAGAUCGUAGGCUGCAACUUGCCUACGUGAAGGAGGAAUCGCUAGUAAUCGCAGGUCAGCAUACUGCGGUGAAUACGUUCCCGGGCCU
RNAcentral lists this ribosomal RNA (857 nucleotides) under uncultured bacterium. RNAcentral's name for it is "SSU rRNA". It matches the Rfam family "Bacterial small subunit ribosomal RNA", at positions 524 to 1381 of the family's 1533-position model. The record is from RNAcentral.